Molecule: transfer RNA, 77 nt
Filed under: Pseudomonadota bacterium
Lineage: Bacteria; Pseudomonadati; Pseudomonadota
Also listed under: 3 other names
Description: tRNA-Val
Rfam family: tRNA
About the family: Transfer RNA (tRNA) molecules are approximately 80 nucleotides in length. Their secondary structure includes four short double-helical elements and three loops (D, anti-codon, and T loops).
Source: RNAcentral
GGGCGGUUAGCUCAGUUGGUCAGAGUACUUGCUUGACAUGCAAGGGGUCACUGGUUCAAAUCCAGUACCGCCCACCA